This 184-nucleotide ribosomal RNA is filed under the name uncultured bacterium. Its description in RNAcentral is "partial 16S ribosomal RNA". It matches the Rfam family "Bacterial small subunit ribosomal RNA", at positions 1319 to 1500 of the family's 1533-position model. The record is from RNAcentral.
CAUGAAGUCGGAAUUGCUAGUAAUCGCAGAUCAGCAUGCUGCGGUGAAUACGUUCCCGGGCCUUGUACACACCGCCCGUCACACCAUGGGAGUCGGUAACACCCGAAGUCAGGAGCCUGACCUUUUUAGGAGGGCACUGCCGAAGGUGGGAUUGAUGACUGGGGUGAAGUCGUAACAAGGUACC